UACGUAGGGUGCAAGCGUUAAUCGGAAUUACUGGGCGUAAAGCGUGCGCAGGCGGUUAUGUAAGACAGGUGUGAAAUCCCCGGGCUUAACCUGGGAACUGCAUUUGUGACUGCAUAGCUAGAGUAUGGUAGAGGUUGGUGGAACUGCGAGUGUAGAGGUGAAAUUCGUAGAUAUUCGCAAGAACACCAGUGGCGAAGGCGGUUGCCUGGAGCUUUGCUGACGCUGAGGCGCGAAAGCGUGGGGAGCGAGUCCGG
This 254-nucleotide ribosomal RNA is filed under the name uncultured bacterium. RNAcentral's name for it is "partial 16S ribosomal RNA". It matches the Rfam family "Bacterial small subunit ribosomal RNA", at positions 524 to 777 of the family's 1533-position model. The record is from RNAcentral.